RNAcentral lists this ribosomal RNA (366 nucleotides) under Eimeria crandallis. RNAcentral describes it as "SSU rRNA". It matches the Rfam family "Eukaryotic small subunit ribosomal RNA", at positions 522 to 891 of the family's 1831-position model. Lineage: Eukaryota; Apicomplexa; Conoidasida; Eucoccidiorida; Eimeriidae. The record is from RNAcentral.
AAUGUAAAACCCUUCCAGAGUAACAAUUGGAGGGCAAGUCUGGUGCCAGCAGCCGCGGUAAUUCCAGCUCCAAUAGUGUAUAUUAGAGUUGUUGCAGUUAAAAAGCUCGUAGUUGGAUUUCUGCUGUGGUCAUCCGGUACCGCCCGUAUGGGUGCGCACCUGGUUUGGCUGCGGCUUUCUUCCUGUAGCCGUCCGCGCUUAAUUGCGUGCGUUGUGUUACGGAACUUUUACUUUGAGAAAAAUAGAGUGUUUCAAGCAGGCUUGUCGCCCUGAAUACUUCAGCAUGGAAUAAUAGGAUAGGACCUUGGUUCUAUUUUGUUGGUUUCUAGGACCAAGGUAAUGAUUAAUAGGGACAGUGGGGGGCAU